CUACUGGGGGCACACUGUGACAAUAACUAGCCCUGGCACCGCUCACAUUAAAUAGAUUUAAUUGUCCAGUUCGAGCGGUGCCUGGGCCGGCUUACAUCACGUGAUCGCCGCAGUCAGCUAGGAGCGGGAAGUUCAAUAGUGCUUAGCACAGCUUCCUUUAUCCCCUGUGUGCUCCAGGCACAAGCAUACAACAGCCCCGGGCAGCUCAUCCGGAUCACAUACCGGACUGAUGCUGCUGCUCCAGAGAAGGUGAACUCAUAAAGAAAGGAGGCGCAGCCCGUUCUCUAUUCUCUCCCCCUUCUGCGCCUCCUUCCUGCCCGACGGCCAUGGGCUGUCCCCCUGCCCACGGAGCUUCCACUGCAGACACGAUACUCCCCUGCAGGCAUACGCAGCUAUGGGCUGUCCCAGUGCCCUCCGGAGCUUCAUCUGCAGCCACGGUCCCCAGCACUUUCCGUGACAUCCACAGCGGCAGAGCUGAUCACUCCUUCUCAUAGGAUGCCAUGGCUGCGGGACCCGCGGAGGUGAUGGACGGAGUAGAGUGCACACUGAAAGAGCUGCUGAGGGGCCAGGACUCAGAGCGUCUGCAGGGAAAGGUGUCGGCGAAGCUGAGCCAGCUGGUGGUACUGGAGAGAGUAGCUGCCCACAGCCAAGAUGCUGAAAACCAAACACACCAGAACUUUGGGUUUCUGAGUAGAACUGAGUCCUAGCUCAGGUCAUCCUGCCAAGUUUGGAUCUCAGAUCUAUAAGAAGGUACAUCAAGUGUUUUGGAUUGCAUACCAGGGUUGGAACUUGGACUUGAUGGUGAAGCGGUGUGAAGAAAACUGGGUGUAUUAAUGAAAUUUCUGUGCAUGGGCAGGAGUCAGGAGACCUGCUAGUAUACUAGGAGAUAGUGGAGGACUUGAACAUGGAAUAGGAAAUGACAGAUGAAAACAGGUUGCCAGUGUAGACGAUGGUGGAGUAACCGACAUCAUAGGAGCUGAAUCUGGAGUAAUCGUAUUCGGACCUGCCCUUGCAAGAGUCACUUGAAUAAAGUCCAAAUGUG
Molecule: long non-coding RNA, 1042 nt
Organism: Pseudophryne corroboree (corroboree frog)
Lineage: Eukaryota; Metazoa; Chordata; Amphibia; Anura; Myobatrachidae
Exons: 5
Source: RefSeq, a predicted model, not a curated record